AGAGUUUGAUCCUGGCUCAGGAUGAACGCUAGCGGCAGGCUUAAUACAUGCAAGUCGAGGGGUAACAUGGUAGCAAUACUGAUGACGACCGGCAAACAGGUGCGGAACACGUACAGAACCUUCCUUUAAGCGGGGGAUAGCCCGGAGAAAUCCGGAUUAAUACCCCAUAGUAAUGUUGAGUGGCAUCACUCGAUAUUUAAAGAUUUAUCACUUAAAGAUGGCUGUGCGGCUGAUUAGGUAGUUGGUGUGGGUAACGGCCCACCAAGCCCUCGAUCAGUAACUGGUGUGAGAGCACGACCAGUCACACGGGCACUGAGACACGGGCCCGACUCCUACGGGAGGCAGCAGUAAGGAAUAUUGGUCAAUGGACGCAAGUCUGAACCAGCCAUGCCGCGUGAAGGAUGAAGGCCCUCUGGGUUGUAAACUUCUUUUAUCUGGGAAGAAAUGCAUGCUUUUUAGCGUGUUUGACGGUACCAGAGGAAUAAGCACCGGCUAACUCCGUGCCAGCAGCCGCGGUAAUACGGAGGGUGCAAGCGUUAUCCGGAUUCACUGGGUUUAAAGGGUGCGUAGGUGGGUUGGUAAGUCAGUGGUGAAAUCUCCGUGCUUAACAUGGAAACUGCCAUUGAUACUACUGGUCUUGAAUUUUCCGGAGGUAAGCGGAAUAUGUCAUGUAGCGGUGAAAUGCUUAGAUAUGACAUAGAACACCAAUUGCGAAGGCAGCUUACUACAGGGACAUUGACACUGAGGCACGAAAGCGUGGGGAUCAAACAGGAUUAGAUACCCUGGUAGUCC
Molecule: ribosomal RNA, 792 nt
Filed under: uncultured bacterium
Lineage: Bacteria
Description: bacterial SSU rRNA
Rfam family: Bacterial small subunit ribosomal RNA
Source: RNAcentral